This 233-nucleotide ribosomal RNA is filed under the name uncultured bacterium. RNAcentral's name for it is "partial 16S ribosomal RNA". It matches the Rfam family "Bacterial small subunit ribosomal RNA", at positions 103 to 334 of the family's 1533-position model. The record is from RNAcentral.
CGGGUGAGUAACGCGUGGGUAACCUGCCUUGUACAGGGGGAUAACAGUUGGAAACGGCUGCUAAUACCGCAUAAGCCCACGGCUCGGCAUCGAGCAGAGGGAAAAGGAGCAAUCCGCUUUGAGAUGGCCUCGCGUCCGAUUAGCUGGUUGGUGAGGUAAUGGCCCACCAAGGCGACGAUCGGUAGCCGGACUGAGAGGUUGAACGGCCACAUUGGGACUGAGACACGGCCCAG